UAGUGGCGAACGGGUGAGUAACACGUGGGUUACCUGCCUCAAGCUGGGGAUAACAGUUAGAAAUGACUGCUAAUACCGAAUGUGCUAGUAAUAGUAAAGGUGCUCUCAAGCAUCACUUGAAGAUGAGCCUGCGGCGUAUUAGCUAGUUGGUGGGGUAAAUGCCUACCAAGGCGACGAUGCGUAGCCGGACUGAGAAGUUGAUCGGCCACACUGGGACUGAGACACGGCCCAGACUCCUACGGGAGACAGCAGUUAGGAAUAUUCGGCAAUGGGCGAAAGCCUGACCGAGCAAUGCCGCGUGUGAGAUGAAGGUCCUUUGGAUUGUAAAUCACUUUUAUUUGGGAAGAACAGUAAAUAGAGGAAAUGUUAUUUAUUUGACGGUACCAUUUGAAUAAGCCCCGGCUAACUACGUGCCAGCCGCUGC
Molecule: ribosomal RNA, 424 nt
Filed under: uncultured bacterium
Lineage: Bacteria
Description: bacterial SSU rRNA
Rfam family: Bacterial small subunit ribosomal RNA
Source: RNAcentral